Molecule: ribosomal RNA, 253 nt
Filed under: uncultured bacterium
Lineage: Bacteria
Description: partial 16S ribosomal RNA
Rfam family: Bacterial small subunit ribosomal RNA
Source: RNAcentral
UACAGAGGUCCCAAGCGUUGUUCGGAUUCACUGGGCGUAAAGGGUGCGUAGGCGGUCGGGUAAGUCUGAUGUGAAAUCUCACAGCUUAACUGUGAAACUGCAUUGGAUACUAUCCGGCUCGAGGAAUGGAGGGGAGACUGGAAUACUUGGUGUAGCAGUGAAAUGCGCAGAUAUCAGGAGGAACACCAAUGGCGAAGGCAGCUCGCUGGGACGUGACUGACGCUGAGACGCGAAAGCGUGGGGAGCAAACAGG